This 472-nucleotide ribosomal RNA is filed under the name uncultured bacterium. RNAcentral describes it as "bacterial SSU rRNA". It matches the Rfam family "Bacterial small subunit ribosomal RNA", at positions 355 to 825 of the family's 1533-position model. The record is from RNAcentral.
UGGGGAAUUUUGGACAAUGGGCGCAAGCCUGAUCCAGCCAUGCCGCGUGCGGGAAGAAGGCCUUCGGGUUGUAAACCGCUUUUGUCAGGGAAGAAACGCUCUGGGCUAAUACCCUGGGGUAAUGACGGUACCUGAAGAAUAAGCACCGGCUAACUACGUGCCAGCAGCCGCGGUAAUACGUAGGGUGCAAGCGUUAAUCGGAAUUACUGGGCGUAAAGCGUGCGCAGGCGGUUUUGUAAGUCUGAUGUGAAAUCCCCGGGCUCAACCUGGGAAUUGCAUUGGAGACUGCAAGGCUAGAAUCUGGCAGAGGGGGGUAGAAUUCCACGUGUAGCAGUGAAAUGCGUAGAUAUGUGGAGGAACACCGAUGGCGAAGGCAGCCCCCUGGGUCAAGAUUGACGCUCAUGCACGAAAGCGUGGGGAGCAAACAGGAUUAGAUACCCAGGUAGUCCCUGAGCGGGCUGGCAAGGCGCAU